Molecule: long non-coding RNA, 422 nt
Organism: Oncorhynchus tshawytscha (Chinook salmon)
Lineage: Eukaryota; Metazoa; Chordata; Actinopteri; Salmoniformes; Salmonidae
Source: Ensembl
GGGGGAGAGGACAGAGAAAGAGGGAGGUAGAAGGUAUACUAUACAGAUAGGAUGGAGAGAAUAGCAGGAGAGGACAGAGAAAGAGGGAGGUAGAAGGUAUACUAUAGAGAUAGGAUGGAGAGAAUAGCAGGAGGGGGAGAGGACAGAGAAAGAGGGAGGUAGAAGGUAUACUAUACAGAUAGGAUGGAGAGAAUAGCAGGAGAGGACAGAGAAAGAGGGAGGUAGAAGAUAUACUAUAGAGAUAGGAUGGAGAGAAUAGCAGGAGGGGGGAGAGGACAGAGAAAGAGGGAGGUAGAAGGUAUACUAUACAGAUAGGAUGGAGAGAAUAGCAGGAGAGGACAGAGAAAGAGGGAGGUAGAAGGUGUACUAUAGAGAUAGGAUGGAGAGAAUAGCGGGAGAGGACAGAGAAAGAGGGAGGUAGA